RNAcentral lists this ribosomal RNA (458 nucleotides) under uncultured bacterium. RNAcentral describes it as "bacterial SSU rRNA". It matches the Rfam family "Bacterial small subunit ribosomal RNA", at positions 29 to 533 of the family's 1533-position model. The record is from RNAcentral.
AACGAACGCUGGCGGCAGGCCUAACACAUGCAAGUCGAGCGCCCCGCAAGGGGAGCGGCGGACGGGUGAGUAACACGUGGGAACGUACCCUUUGCUACGGAAUAGUCUCGGGAAACUGGGGGGUAAUACCGUAUGUGCCCUUCGGGGAAAGGAUUUAUCGGCAAAGGAUCGGCCGCGUUGGAUUAGGUAGUUGGUGGGGUAAUGGCCUACCAAGCCGACGAUCCAUAGCUGGUUUGAGAGGAUGAUCAGCCACACUGGGACUGAGACACGGCCCAGACUCCUACGGGAGGCAGCAGUGGGGAAUCUUAGACAAUGGGCGCAAGCCUGAUCUAGCCAUGCCGCGUGAGCGAUGAAGGCCUUAGGGUUGUAAAGCUCUUUCAGUGGGGAAGGAUAAUGACUGUACCCACAGAAGAAGCCCCGGCUAACUCCGUGCCAGCAGCCGCGGUAAAGUACAGUGU